GACGAACGCUGGCGGCGUGCUUAACACAUGCAAGUCGAACGGAAAGACCAUGCUUUUGUGGGGUGCUCGAGUGGCGAACGGGUGUGUAACACGCGAGUAACCUCCCCCUGACUUUGGGAUAAAUUCAGGAAAAUGGGGCUAAUACCGGAUAGGAGCUCCUGAUGCAUGGGGGGGGUUGGAAAGUUGCGGUGGUUGGGGAUGGUUUCGAGGCUUAUCGGCUUGUUGGUGGGGUAGUGGAUUACCAAGGCUUUGAAGGGUAGCCGGCCUGGGAGGGUGACCGGCGACAUUGGGCCUACGAUACGGAGCAGACGCCUACGGUAGGCAACAGGGGGGAAUAUUGCACAAUGGGCGGAAGCCUGAUACAGCAACGCCGCGUGCGGAAUGACGGCCUUCGGGUUGUAAACCGCUUUCGCCUGUGACGAAGCGUGAGUGACGGCAAUGGGUAAAAAAGCACCGGCUAACUACGUG
Molecule: ribosomal RNA, 468 nt
Filed under: uncultured bacterium
Lineage: Bacteria
Description: partial 16S ribosomal RNA
Rfam family: Bacterial small subunit ribosomal RNA
Source: RNAcentral